AUUGAACGCUGGCGGCAGGCCUAACACAUGCAAGUCGAGAGGAGCGGCGGACGGGUGAGUAAUGCCUAGGACUCUGCCUGGUAGUGGGGGAAAACGUCCGGAAACGGGCGAUAAUACCGCAAACUAUAAGAUGAGCCUGGGUCGGAUGAGCUAGUUGGUGGGGUAAAGGCCUACCAGGGCGAAGAUCAGUAACUGGUCUGAGAGGAUGAUCAGUCACACUGGAACUGAGACACGGUCCAGACUCCUACGUGAUGCAGCAGUGGGGAAUAUUGGACAAUGGGCGAAAGCCUGAUCCAGCCAUGCCGCGUGUCUGAAGAAGGUCUUCGGAUUGGAAAGCACUUUAAGUUGGGAGGCGUUACCAACAGAAUAAGCACCGGCUAACUUCGUGCCAGCAGCCGCGGUAAUUC
RNAcentral lists this ribosomal RNA (407 nucleotides) under uncultured bacterium. Its description in RNAcentral is "partial 16S ribosomal RNA". It matches the Rfam family "Bacterial small subunit ribosomal RNA", at positions 30 to 526 of the family's 1533-position model. The record is from RNAcentral.